Molecule: long non-coding RNA, 828 nt
Organism: Tyto alba (common barn owl)
Lineage: Eukaryota; Metazoa; Chordata; Aves; Strigiformes; Tytonidae
Exons: 2
Source: RefSeq, a predicted model, not a curated record
CUGCAUCCUCCUCUCUUGCUUCCCUUUCCUCGAGGAACGAGCUUUGCUUCCUUCACCGAGAGAUGUCUUGCUUCAGACCCUGUCCCCCACGGCCCUGUGGUGCCUCUGGCCCAACCCCACUUGCAAGCAGCUGCAGUGAGCCCUGUGUUGCCCGCUGCGCUGACUCGACGGUGUUCAUUCGAGCCCUCGCCAGUGGUGGUGACCCUACCGGGCCCCAUCCUCAACUCUUUCCCUCAGAGCACGGCUGUGGGAUCAUCUCUGUCAGCUGCUGUUGGGAGCUCCCUCAGUGCCGGGGGAUUUCCCAUCUCUUCUGGGGGCUCCCUUGGUCUGGGCGGGUCCGGGAUGUGUCUGCCUCUCCCCCGCUGCAGUCUGAAUUGCUGAAGCUGGUGGCUCAUCCCUCUAGGAGCAGGACAGAAGACGGGACCCUGCAGCAGCAGGAGCAUGGCCACGGCUUGCAGACAGGCAUGGGUGUCCUCAUGCCACCUGGCAGGAGGGACCUGUGCCCACUUCUCCUCUCUGCACGGCUGGCGUGGUUGUGUCUCCUCUAGCUCUUCUUUGCUCUGAGCCCUCCAGAAAGGGCUCGUUCUCUUCUGCUUUGCUGAAUCCCCUGCUGUUUGGGAGAGUGUGCUGGAGUUAGGGACCGCUCUUGGUGGGCUGCCAUUGCCACCACGGAGAGCAGAAUGGUAAAAGUAAAGCGCUUUGUGUGCAGCUUGUCCUUGGGGAACGUGCCAUACUGUGUGCGUGCCUCAAACCUGCAGAUGUGUUUCUUGGUCUCUGUUCUGUGCUACUGCAUUUCCUCCUUCUUAUUAAAGGCUUUGUGCAUCAUAA